GAUAAUGGCCGAAAAUCUAAGGUUUCCUGAGGAAGGUUCGUCCGCUCAGGGUAAGCCGGGAGCUAAGGUGAGGCGGAAGCGCGUAGCCGAUGCACAUACGGUAGAGAUUCCGUAGCCUCCGAAAAGUAAAGCACAGGGACGCUUCAGAAGUGUUACGCCGGGCGAUGGUAGCCCCGGUUGUAAAGGACACAAUUGAGUGGAAGGUAACAUGGAUGGAGACAAGAAAAGCUGUGUGUAUCUGGAAGGAGCCCGUACCGCAAACCGACACAGGUAGAUAGGAAGAAGAUUCUAAGGCCAGCGGGAGAAGGGUUGUUAAGGAACUCGGCAAGUUGACCCCGUAACUUCGGGAGAAGGGGUGCUUACGAAGGUAAGCCGCAGAGAAUAGGCCCAAGCGACUGUUUAGCAAAAACACAGCUCUAUGCUAAAUCGAAAGAUGACGUAUAUGGGGUGACACCUGCCCGGUGCUGGAAGGUUAAGAGGAGAUGUGAGAGCAUUGAAUUGAAGCCCCAGUAAACGGCGGCCGUAACUAUAACGGUCCUAAGGUAGCGAAAUUCCUUGUCAGGUAAGUUCUGACCCGCACGAAUGGUGUAACGAUUUGGGCACUGUCUCAACAACCUACCCGGCGAAAUUGUAGUACCGGUGAAGAUGCCGGUUACCCGCAACUAGACGGAAAGACCCCAUGGAGCUUCACUGUAGCUUAAUAUUGAAUUUUGGUAUUUCAUGUACAGGAUAGGUGGGAGACUGGGAAAUACAGGCGUCAGCUUGUAUGGAGUCACUGUUGGGAUACCACUCUUGAGGUGCUGAAAUUCUAACCUGCGUCUUUGAAUCAAGACGGGGGACAUUGUUAGGUGGGCAGUUUGACUGGGGCGGUCGCCUCCAAAAGAGUAACGGAGGCGCUCAAAGGUUCGCUCAGCAUGGACGUAAACCAUGCCAAAGAGUGCAAACGCAAAAGCGAGCCUAACUGCGAGACUGACGGGUCGAGCAGUAACGAAAGUUGGAGUUAGUGAUCCGGCGGUAUGUGAGUGGAAAUGCCGUCGCUCAACGGAUAAAAGCUACCCUGGGGAUAACAGGCUGAUCUCCCCCAAGAGUCCACAUCGACGGGGAGGUUUGGCACCUCGAUGUCGGCUCAUCGCAUCCUGGGGCUGAAUUCGGUCCCAAGGGUUUGGCUGUUCGCCAAUUAAAGCGGUACGCGAGCUGGGUUCAGAACGUCGUGAGACAGUUCGGUCCCUAUCUGUCGUGGGCGUAGGAUAUUUGAAAGGAGCUGUCCCUAGUACGAGAGGACCGGGAUGGACGCACCUCUGGUGAACCAGUUGUCACGCCAGUGGCACGGCUGGGCAGCUAAGUGCGGAACGGAUAAACGCUGAAAGCAUCUAAGCGUGAAGCCGACCUUAAGAUAAGAUAUCCGUUCUUCGGAAUAAGACCCCUUGUAGACUACGAGGUUGAUAGGCUUAAAGUGUAAGCAUGGUGACAUGUUUAGCUUGCAAGUACUAAUCGGUCGAUUGCUUUU
This 1507-nucleotide ribosomal RNA is filed under the name metagenome. RNAcentral's name for it is "bacterial LSU rRNA". It matches the Rfam family "Bacterial large subunit ribosomal RNA", at positions 1329 to 2925 of the family's 2925-position model. The record is from RNAcentral.